Molecule: ribosomal RNA, 253 nt
Filed under: uncultured bacterium
Lineage: Bacteria
Description: partial 16S ribosomal RNA
Rfam family: Bacterial small subunit ribosomal RNA
Source: RNAcentral
UACAUAGGUCUCAAGCGUUGUUCGGAUUCAUUGGGCGUAAAGGGUGCGUAGGCGGCGCGUUAAGUCGGGUGUGAAAUCUCGGAGCUUAACUCCGAAACUGCAUUCGAUACUGCCGUGCUUGAGGACUGGAGAGGAGACUGGAAUUUACGGUGUAGCGGUGAAAUGCGUAGAUAUCGUAAGGAAGACCAGUGGCGAAGGCGGGUCUCUGGACAGUUCCUGACGCUGAGGCACGAAGGCCAGGGGAGCAAACGGG